This 957-nucleotide non-coding RNA is filed under the name Epibulus insidiator (slingjaw wrasse). RNAcentral describes it as "12S ribosomal RNA". It matches the Rfam family "Bacterial small subunit ribosomal RNA". Lineage: Eukaryota; Metazoa; Chordata; Actinopteri; Labriformes; Labridae. The record is from RNAcentral.
CAAAGGCUUGGUCCUGACUUUUCUAUCAACUCUAACCAAACUUACACAUGCAAGUAUCCGCGCCCCUGUGAGAAUGCCCCCACCCCCGCUUCCUUUGAAGGAUGCUAGGAGCUGGUAUCAGGCACAGCCCUCAGCUAGCCCAUGACACCUUGCUUGGCCACACCCCCAAGGGAACUCAGCAGUGAUAAACAUUAAGCCAUAAGUGAAAACUUGACUUAGUUAAGGUUAAGAGGGCCGGUCAAUUUCGUGCCAGCCACCGCGGUUAUACGAGAGGCCCAAGUUGAUAGACUCCGGCAUAAAGUGUGGUUAAGGAUUAAAUUUUACUAAAGCCGAAGACUUUCAAAGCUGUUAUACGCGAAUGAAAGAUUGAAGCCCAACCACGAAAGUGGCUUUAAUUACCCUGACGCCACGGAAGCUACGGGACAAACUGGGAUUAGAUACCCCACUAUGCGUAGCCGUAAACAUUGAUAACGCCCUAUAUUUGUUAUCCGCCCGGGAACUACGAGCGAGAGCUUAAAACCCAAGGGACUUGGCGGUGCUUUAGACCCCCCUAGAGGAGCCUGUCCUAUAACCGAUAAUCCCCGUUAAACCUCACCUCUCCUUGUUCCUUCCAGCCUAUAUACCGCCGUCGUCAGCUUACCCUGCAAAGGACCUAAAGUAAGCAAAAUUGGCUAACCCCCCAAAACGCCAGGUCGAGGUGUAGCGUAUGGAGAGGGAUGAGAUGGGCUACAUUCCAUCCCAGAUGGCACACGAACGGUUAGAUUGAAACAUCAACCUGAAGGAGGAUUUAGCAGUAAGUGGGAAAUAGAGCGUCCCACUGAAUCUGGCCCUGAAGCGCGCACACACCGCCCGUCACUCUCCCCGAAUAAAAACCUUUUUAUCCCUAAUACCAUACAACACGUAAGGGGAGGCAAGUCGUAACAUGGUAAGUGUACCGGAAGGUGCACUUGGAUAACC